AGAGUUUGAUCAUGGCUCAGGAUGAACGCUGGCGGCGUGCCUAAUACAUGCAAGUCGAACGGAGAAUUAGCAAUAAUUCUUAGUGGCGAACGGGUGAGUAACGCGUUGGUGACCUGCCCCGAAGAGUGGGAUAACAGUCCGAAAGGAUUGCUAAUACCUCAUGUGGUUAUCGGAUUUAGAAACUGAUAACUAAAGCAGAAAUGCGCUUUGGGAGGGACCUGCGUCCCAUCAGCUAGUUGGUGAGGUAACGGCUCACCAAGGCGACGACGGGUAAGGGGCCUGAGAGGGUGGCCCCUCACAAUGGAACUGAAACACGGUCCAUACACCUACGGGUGGCAGCAGUAGGGAAUAUUGGUCAAUGGGCGAAAGCCUGAACCAGCAACGCCGCGUGUGCGAUGAAGGUCUUCGGAUCGUAAAGCACUUUUCUGGGAGAUGAGAACGGACAGUAUCCCAGGAAUAAGCCUCGGCUAACUACGUGCCAGCAGCCGCGGUAAAACGUAGGAGGCAAGCGUUAUCCGGAUUUACUGGGCGUAAAGCGCGUGCAGGCGGUUCGGCAAGUUGGAUGUGAAAGCUCCUGGCUCAACUAGGAGAGGUCGUUCAAAACUACCGAACUUGAGGGCAACAGAGGAAAGUGGAAUUCCCGGUGUAGUGGUGAAAUGCGUAGAUAUCGGGAGGAACACCAGUGGCGAAAGCGACUUUCUGGGUUGCAUCUGACGCUCAGACGCGAAAGCUAGGGUAGCAAACGGGAUUAGAGACCCCGGUAGUCCUAGCAGUAAACGAUGUAGACUUGGUGUCGGUAGUGUCAAAGCUAUCGGUAUCGAAGCUAACGCGAUAAGUCUACCGCCUGGGGACUACGGCCGCAAGGUUAAAACUCAAAUGAAUUGACGG
RNAcentral lists this ribosomal RNA (888 nucleotides) under uncultured bacterium. RNAcentral describes it as "bacterial SSU rRNA". It matches the Rfam family "Bacterial small subunit ribosomal RNA", at positions 8 to 916 of the family's 1533-position model. The record is from RNAcentral.